RNAcentral lists this ribosomal RNA (497 nucleotides) under uncultured bacterium. RNAcentral's name for it is "partial 16S ribosomal RNA". It matches the Rfam family "Bacterial small subunit ribosomal RNA", at positions 28 to 507 of the family's 1533-position model. The record is from RNAcentral.
GAUGAACGCUGGCGGCGUGCCUAAUACAUGCAAGUCGAGCGAACGGACGAGAAGCUUGCUUCUCUGAUGUUAGCGGCGGACGGGUGAGUAACACGUGGAUAACCUACCUAUAAGACUGGGAUAACUUCGGGAAACCGGAGCUAAUACCGGAUAAUAUUUUGAACCGCAUGGUUCAAAAGUGAAAGACGGUCUUGCUGUCACUUAUAGAUGGAUCCGCGCUGCAUUAGCUAGUUGGUAAGGUAACGGCUUACCAAGGCAACGAUGCAUAGCCGACCUGAGAGAGUGAUCGGCCACACGGGAACUGAGACGCGGUCCAGACUCCUACGGGAGGCAGCAGUAGGGAAUGUUCCGCAAUGGGCGAAAGCCUGACGGAGCAACGCCGCGUGAGUGAUGAAGGUCUUCGGAUCGUAAAACUCUGUUAUUAGGGAAGAGCAUAUGUGUAAGUAACUGUGCACAUCUUGACGGUACCUAAUCAGAAAGCCACGGCUAACUACGUG